RNAcentral lists this unclassified non-coding RNA (866 nucleotides) under Hevea brasiliensis (rubber tree). Lineage: Eukaryota; Viridiplantae; Streptophyta; Magnoliopsida; Malpighiales; Euphorbiaceae. The record is from RNAcentral.
AGUCUUUAGAAGUAGCUGCUAAGGUACUUCAUUGUUCCUUUGGUAGAAAAAGAGAAAAUCUAAUUUUUUUGGCUAUUUGAGUUACAUAGUUUACUAUUAGCUAUGAAUGCUUCAAGGCAUCCUAGUUAAAAAUUCACUUGAAUUUAAAAUUUAGAAUAAGCAGUUUGUUUCCUCUGAUGUUUAUGUUGCAAUGAGGAAACAUUGAUAUUUAAUUGGUUGCAUUCACAAGCAGUUCAAAUGACUGACUGUUGGACAUAUGCUGUUGACAUUGACAACAUAAUUAUAUGUACAUAUAGAUUCACGCAGAUGUAUUUAUCUAUACCUGUAUAUAGAUGUAUUGAUCUGUAAAAUUUUUCCACUGGAUGUGUAGUAUAAUUAUUUUAUUGAGGUUCUUAGAAGUAGUAGAAAUGUUGUUAGUUGUUAGUUGGGUUUUACUUAUCAGCCAACUCAUAGUUGAGAGCAGGGGUACCAAUGCAACACACUUAGUGGCUACUGACGUACUGCUUUUUCAAAAUCUCAAUUGUAUCAGCCUAUAGUGACCGAUACGCUCUGAUACUGCCAUUAUUGAUGUUUUAAGCAGCAAAGAGGAAGGAGAGGGAUUGCAUGUACCUAGACAGAAGAUAUAACCUUUGUUUCUCUUUUUCCCCAAUUGAAAUCCAUAGAGAGAGCUGCUGCUAGAUAAGUGCCAAUAACCAUGACUGCUGAAUGGAAACAUUAAACUAAAAGCCCCUACAAAAUGCUGAACAUCAACAUUAUUUUUUUCCUUUUUAUAUAUGAAAAAACUAUAAUGUCUAUAGGCUUUUGAUUCUUGCAAAACCCAUUGCCUACUGCCUAGUAGGCUUUCAUUCAAGCUUGUAGUUGGGUUA